AAUAUAGAGUCUGACAAAGGAUUUUGUACUGUUUCCAACAGUAAGAGGCUCCAUGGGAGGAGGUAGUUUGGUGACUUCAAAAACUGCAAUUUAGGAGAUAUUUCAAUGAUUUGGAAAACUGAGAUGGGAUAUUUUAAAAUUAGAACUUUCCUGGAAAACCUAGAAUGGUCUCCACCAUACUCUUUGAUGACUCACACUGUACUAGAAUUAUGGUGGACACAAAAGUAUAAGGCAUGCGAUUUUUGAAGUCGCCCAUGCUACUGGGGAGUUUACAGUAUUAUUGGGAAGAUAAGACUUUCAUAAAGAAAAUAAUUAUAGGGAUUUUAAUAAACAACACUAAAGAAAAUAAAAUCCUAUAAUAAUUUUCACAACAGGAUGUGCCACUGUUUUGCAUAUAGUAUUUCAGAUCCUCACCAACCAUUUGAUGGGAUCUUAUCAUCUCCAUGUUGGAAUGAGAAAAUGAAGCUUGGAGAAGCUGAGUGAAAGGCCAAGGCCACACAGUUGGUAAUUUGUGGCGGGGGGAUUUGAACCCACAUUCUGUCAGGCUCCAAAGGCUGUAUUCUUUCCAUUCUGGUACCCAUCCAUCCUUUCUUAUUCUGUACAUAGCAGAUCUGCAAAGUGAUGGUAAACUUACUAUUGUUCCUAAUUUAAAACAUCUGUAUAAAGAAUCAAGAGUGAUGGAAGUAUAAGGUUUUUCCCUCUUUUCAAAAUUAUCUUUAAAUCUGCUAUAAUAUUUUACAUGUAAAAGAAGGAAACAGGGACACUAAAGACAGAAUAUGUUAUGUUUGAACCACCCACUACUUUGCUGGCUCUCAUUUAAUUACUUUGUUUCUUUUCUCUUUCAGGUGAUUACAUGGAACUAAAAAGAUGAAUAAAAAUAAACUGAUUCAUGAUUUCCUGGAAGUAGUUUCAAGAGGUGAUGUGAAACUCAUCUGUGACCAUAUUAGUAAAGUCCAUUCCACCCUCGGAAACCUUAACUUUCAGCAUCCAAAGACUGGGAAUACACCUCUCAUUACUGCAGCAGCAGAAAAUCUAACAGAGGUUGUUGGAUUUCUUCUGGAAAAGGGAGCAGAUAUCACCCUUUGCAAUUACAGCAAUAAAACCGCAGUCCAUGUGGCUAAAAGUGAUGUUCAGAGGCAACUCCUGGCCAUGAGUGGAAUCCAGGCUCCCCAAAUGCAACUUCUACGAAGUUCGUGGCAAGGCGAUCUUGAACAACUUCAGCACUUGCUGGUCAGUUAAACUGAUGUUUGCUUCUGCCUUUGGGUGGGUGAGUGGGUGGGGGUGGGGUGAGAAGGGCACAGACUACAUACAACUCCUUUAAAGAAAAAGAAGUUCUUUUCCAGAGCAGUCCAAGAAAGUUUCAGGCAGGAAAUCUGAGAGAAAAAAGGGUCAAAUGGGAGAGUGGGGUGGAAAACAAGAUAAUAAAAGAACAUAGCAGCAGCCUAUUUACA
RNAcentral lists this long non-coding RNA (1451 nucleotides) under Sus scrofa (pig). RNAcentral's name for it is "lncRNA (ENSSSCG00070003880.1)". Lineage: Eukaryota; Metazoa; Chordata; Mammalia; Artiodactyla; Suidae. The record is from RNAcentral.